Long non-coding RNA from Maniola jurtina (meadow brown), 763 nucleotides. RefSeq lists it as uncharacterized. NCBI's taxonomy places the organism in Eukaryota, Metazoa, Arthropoda, Insecta, Lepidoptera, Nymphalidae. The transcript is spliced from 3 exons. The record is from RefSeq and is a predicted model, not a curated record.
AAUAUAAUUUACUAGAUACCUGUAGGCACGUCAAAUUCAGACGUAUAAUUUCAUUUUAUUAUUAUCAUGGACUAUUUACUACACGUUUUGGUAACGAUUUGCGAAUAAACUACCUAUUUGAAGAAAAGAAAUACAUACCUACUCUUGUAAAUAACAUUGAAUCGACAUGACUGCUAAGGUACAGACUUCCUGUUUUGAGGGAGUUUUUAAAUUGUGAGCUGAAUCGCUGGCUGAAUCAGUUGUUGUGUGUAUGCGGGUCUAGGCAGAAUACACCAGAACCUCCAGGCUCCAACAUACAUUAUACUUAUUUGCCGCAAACAAAAAUACUGCAAAAAAUUAGUACAAAAAGCAAUUUUCCAGCACAACUCUAUUUUAAGUAAGUGUAGCAUGAGCGGCCGCGACGACUGGGUGCCGCUGGCGGCGGGCGUGGUGGUGGGCGCGGGUCUGCUGGCGCUGCUGUACAAGAUGCUGAGCGGCCGCGCCGCCUACAGUGCCAAGUCGCACAACUACGGCGCCACCAGCUACGUCUGCACCUGCAAGGGAAGCGAGCAGGCCUGGUGUCAAGUUCACGGUGACGGAAAGAAUGUCAGAUAAGAACAGCAACCUAGCAAUAAAAGAAGAAAUCAGAUCUGUCCUUAUGUCGCUGCCAUUCUGUCAAAUGGUCAUAACACUGGAACAAAUUGUUCGAAAUUAUUGUGAAAUACUUACUGAGAUAGUUAUGUUUUUAAAAUAAAUAAAAACGAUCCAAAAAUGGAAAAACCAA